CCCCCUUCCUUCGCUUAUGGAAAAGAAGGCUAUGGUAGGACUUGAAGAAGUCUUUCCUCUGCACAAUAUCCUUGCCUCAUGUCACAGAUACCUCUGCAUGUCUUGAAAUGCAUGUGCCUUUUUAGUGCUUUAAUUAAUGGUAAUGUGCAGAAGGCAAGAUUCCACCGGAUGUAACAUUGGUUUUUGAGAUCGAACUUUAUGUUGUAACCAAAGGACCACGAAGCAUUGAAACGUUUAAACAGAUAGACACUGACAAUGGCAGGCAACUCUCUAAAACUGAGAUAAAUCAGUACUUGGAAAGGGAAUUUGAAAAAGAUGAGAAGCCACGUGACAAGUCAUACCAGAAUGCAGUUUUAGAAGAUAUUUUUAAGAAGAAUGACCAUGAUGGUGAUGGCUUCAUUUCUUCCAAGGAAUACAAUGUAUAUCAACAUGAUGAACUAUAGUUUAUUUUUCUAUCAGAAUUUCUCUACUGUGCUUUAUAAAAUGAAGUCACUUUUCUCCAAGAUGUAUUUUCUAUUUUUCACCCAUGAGAAUAUAUUUGGAGACCUCCUUUACAUGUAAUUAUGUUAUAAUAAAUGUGAGACUGUUUUGCAAGUUUAACUUUGAGGAAACGUUCUAUUGAAUUUCCUAUUGCUUUAUUGACUUCUGUGUCCCAGUGGGCAGUUUUCCCCCUUUGGAACAUAUAUGGCAAAAUCUACAAGCAAUUCCUAAUUCUAACCUUAACA
Talpa occidentalis (Iberian mole) is the source of this 725-nucleotide long non-coding RNA. RefSeq lists it as uncharacterized. The record is from RefSeq and is a predicted model, not a curated record. NCBI's taxonomy places the organism in Eukaryota, Metazoa, Chordata, Mammalia, Eulipotyphla, Talpidae. The transcript has 4 exons.